AUUGAACGCUGGCGGCAUGCCUUACACAUGCAAGUCGAACGGCAGCACGGGAGCAAUCCUGGUGGCGAGUGGCGAACGGGUGAGUAAUAUAUCGGAACGUGCCCAGUCGUGGGGAUAACGUAGCGAAAGCUACGCUAAUACCGCAUACGAUCUAUGGAUGAAAGCGGGGGAUCGCAAGACCUCGCGCGAUUGGAGCGGCCGAUAUCAGAUUAGGUAGUUGGUGAGGUAAAGGCUCACCAAGCCGACGAUCUGUAGCUGGUCUGAGAGGACGACCAGCCACACUGGGACUGAGACACGGCCCAGACUCCUACGGGAGGCAGCACGUGGGGAAUUUUGGACAAUGGGCGCAAGCCUGAUCCAGCAAUGCCGCGUGCAGGAUGAAGGCCUC
This 388-nucleotide ribosomal RNA is filed under the name uncultured bacterium. RNAcentral's name for it is "bacterial SSU rRNA". It matches the Rfam family "Bacterial small subunit ribosomal RNA", at positions 30 to 418 of the family's 1533-position model. The record is from RNAcentral.